AAACAAGAACACUAAUAAAACUAUCAAUCUUCUCAAUUCUUAAUAACAAUAUACAAAAUUUAGCAAAACAAGAACACUAAUAACACUAUCAAUCUUCUCAUUUCUUGAUAACAAUAUACAAAAUUUAACAAAACAAGAACACUAAUAACACUGUCAAUCUUCUCAUUUCUUGAUAACAAUAUACAAAAUUUAGCAAAACAAGAACACUAUCAAUCUUCUCAUUUUUUGAUAACAAUAAAGAAAAUUUAGCAAAACAAGAACACUAAUAACACUAUCCAUCCUUUCAUUUCUUGAUAACAAUAUACAAAAUUCAGCAAAACAAGAACCCUAAUAACACUAUCAAUCUUCUCAUUUCUUGAUAACAAUAUACAAAAUUCAGCAAAACAAGAACACUAAUAACAGUAUCAAUCCUCUCAUUUCUUGAUUACAAUAUACAAAAUUUAGCAAAACAAGAACAUUAAUAACAUUAUCAAUCUUCUCAUUUCUUGAUAACAAUAUACAAAAUUUAGCGAAACAAGAACACUACUAACACUAAAUCAAUCUUCUCAUUUCUUUUAAUAAACAAUAUACAAAAUUUAGCAAAACAAGAACACUAAUAACAUCUAAUCAAAUCUUCUCAAUUUCUGAUGUAACAAUAUACAAAAUUUAGCAAACCAAGAACAUAAUAACACUAUCAAUCUCUCAUCAUUUCUUGAUAAACAAUAUACAAAUUUUAUGCAAAACAAGAAACACUAAUAAACACUAUCAAUCUUUCCAUUUCUUGAUAACAAUAUACAAAAUUUAGCGAAACAAGAACAAUAAUAACACUACACAAUCUUUAUUCUGAAUAAACAAUAUACAAAAUUUAGCAAAACAAGAACCAUCUAAUAAGCAUUCUAUCAAAUCUUCUCAUUUCUUGAUAACAAUAUACAAAAUUUAGCAAACUAGAUACACUAAUACACUAUCAAUCUUUCUCAUUUCUUUGAUAACAAUAUAUCUACUAAAUAUUAGCAAAAACAAGAACACUAAUAACAAAUGUAUCAAUCCUCUCAUUUCUUAAUAACAAUCUAAAUAAAAUUUAGCAAACAAGACAAUAACACUUCAAUCCUCUCAUUCUGAUAACAAACAUAUAACAAACAAACACUAAUCACUAUCAAUCUUCUGCAUUUCUUGAUGAACAUAUACAAAAUUUUAGCAAAACAAGACACUAAUAACACAUAUCAAUCUUCUCAUUUUUGAUAACAAUAUACAAAUUAAAAAAAACCAAGAACACUAAUAACACUAUCAAUCUUCUCAUUUCUUAUAACAAUGAUACUAAAAUUUAGCAAAACAAGAACACUAAUAACACAUAUCAAUCUUCUGACUUUCUUGAUAACAAUAUAAAAAAAUUUAGCAGAAACAGAACACUAAUAAACUAUCAAUCUUCUCAUUUUCCUUAAUAACAAUAUACAAAUUUAAAAACAAGAACACUAAAUAACACUAUCAAUCUUCAUUUCUUGAUAAACAAUAUCAAAAUUAGCAAAACAACAUUAAUAACACUAGUCAUCUCUCAUUUCUUGAUACAAUAUACAAAUUUAGAAAAACAAGAACACUAUACACUAUCAUCUUCUCAAAUUUUCUUGAUAACAAUAUACAGAAAUUUAGCCAAUAACAAGAACACUAAUAACACUAUCAUCUCUCAUUUCUUGAUACAAUAUAUCAAAAUUCGCAAUACAAAGAAACUAUAACACUAUCAACUUCUCAUUCUUGAUAACAAUAUACAAAUUAGGCAAACACAAAACACUAAUAACACCUAUCAAUCUCUCAUUUCUUGAUAACAUAUACAAAAUUUAGCAAAACAAGAACAUAUAACAUUAUCCAUCUUCUCAUUUCUUGAUAACAAUAUACAAAUUUACGAAACAAGAACACUAAUAACACUAUCAAUCUUCCUCAUUUUUGAAUCAACAAUAUACAAAAUUUAGCAAAACAAGAAACUAAUAACACUAUCAAUCUUUCUCAUUUCUUGAUAAAAUAUACAAUUUAGCAAAAACAGAAGCACUAAUAACACUAUCAAUUGUCCUCAUUUUCUUUGAUAACAAAUACAAAAUUUAGCAAAAACAAGAACACUAUAACACUAUCAAUCUUCCAUUUCUUGAUAACAAAUACAAAUUUAGCAAAACAAGAACAAUAAUAACACUUCAAUCUUCUUUCCUUGAUAACAAUAUACAAAAUCUAGCAAAAAAGAACACUAAUAACACUAUCAAUCUUCUGUUCUUUUGAUAACAAUAUACAAAUUUGCAAAACAGAGAACACUAAUAACACUUCAUCUUCUCAUUUUUCAUAACAAUAUACAAAUUUACAAACAAGAACAUAAUAACAUAUCUAUCUUCUCAAUUUUCUUUGAUAACAAUAUACAAAUUUAGCAAAACAAGAACAUAAUAACACUAUCAAUCUUCUCAUUUCUGAUAACAAUAUACAAAAUUUAGCAAAACAAGAACAAAUAACAUAUCAAUCUUCUAUUUCUUGAUAACAAUAUACAAAUUUAGCAAAACAAGAACACUAAUAACACAAAUCUUCUCAUUCUUGAUAAAUAUACAAAAUUUAGCAAAACAAGAAACACUAAUAACAUUAUCAAUUCUCUCAUUUCUUAAUAACAAUACAUAAUUUAGCAAACAAGAACAUAAUAACACUGCUUCAUCUCUCAUUCUUGAUAACAAUAUACAAAAUAUAGCAAAACCAGAAACACUAAUACACUCAUCAAUCUUCUCAUUUCUUGAUAACAAUAUACAAAAUUUGCAACAGAACAUAAUACACUAUCAAUCUUCUCAUUUCUUGAUUAACAUAUACAAAAUUUAAAAAAAAACAAGAACACUAAUAACACUAUAUCUCUCAUUUCUUGAUAACAAUAAUACAAAAUUUAGCAAAACAAGACACUAAUAACAUUCAAUCUUCUCAUUUCUUGAUAAACAAUAUAAAAAAUUUAGCAAAACAAGAACAUAAUAACUAUCAAUCUUCUCAUUUCUUAAACAAUAUACAAAAUUUAGAAAAACAGAACACUAAUAACAUAUCAUCUUCUCAUUUCUUGAUAACAAUAUACAAAUUUAGCAACAAGAACACUAAUAACACUUCAAUCUUCUCAUUUUUGAUAACAAUAUACAAAAUUUAGCAAAACAAGAACACUAUCAAUCUUCUCAUUUUUGAUAACAAUAUACAAAAUUUAGCAAAACAAGAACACUAAUAACACUAUCAUCUCUCAUUUCUGAUAACAAUAUACAAAAUUCAGAACAAACAAGAAGCUUCAUUCUUGAUAACAACUAUCAUUCCAACAAGACAUAUCAUUCCAUGUCUGAUAAAUGAAAAUUUCUAAGCAAAUCAAGACACAAUAAACAUCCACUACAUUUGAACAAUUUUACGAACAAGAAAUGAUACACUCUCCAAUUCUCAUUCUGAUAACAAUAUACAAAUUUAGAAAACAAGAACUUAUCAAUCCUCUCAUUUCUUGAUAACAAUAUACAUAAUUUAGCAAAACAAGAACACUAAUAACACUAUCAAUCUUCUCAUUUCUUGAUAACAAUAUACAAAAUUUAGAAAAACAAGAACACUAAUAACACUAUCAAUCUUCACAUUUCUUGAUAACAAUAUACAUAAUUUAGCAAAACAAGAACAAUAAUAACACUCUCAGUCCUCUUUUUUCUUGAUAAUAAUAUACAAAAUUUAACAAAAGAAGAACACUAAUAACACUAUCAAUCUUCUGAUUUCUUGAUAACACUAUACAAAAUUUAGCAAAACAAGAACACUAAUAACACUGUCAAUCUUCUCAUUUCUUGAUAACAAUAUACAAAAUUUAGCAAAACAAGAACACUAUUAAUCUUCUCAUUUUUUGAUAACAAUUUACAAAAUUUAGCAAAACAAGAACACUAAUAACACUAUCCAUCCUCUCAUUUCUUGAUAACAAUAUACAAAAUUCAGCAAAACAAGAACCCUAAUAACACUAUCAAUCUUCUCAUUUCUUGAUAACAAAAUUUAGCACAAACAAGAACACUAAUAAACACUAUCAAUCUUUCUUGAUAACAAUAUACAAAAUUCAGCAAAACAAGAACACUAAUAACACUAUCAAUCUUCUCAUUUCUUGAUAACAAUAUACAAAAUUCAGCAAAACAAGAACACUAAUAACACUAUCAAUCCUGUCAUUUCUUGAUAACAAUAUACAAAAUUUAGCAAACCAAGAACAUUAAUAACAUUAUCAAUCUUCUCAUUUCUUGAUAACAAUAUACAAAAUUUAGCAAAAUAAGAACACUAAUAACACUAUCAAUCUUCUUAUUUCUUGAUAACAAUAUACAAAAUUUAGCAAAGCAAGAACACUAAUAACACUAUCAAUCUUCUCAUUUCUUGAUAACAAAAUAGAAAAUUUAGCAAAACAAGAACACUAAUAACAAUAUCAAUCCUCUCAUUUCUUGAUAACAAUAUACAUAAUUUAGCUAAACAAGAACACUAUCAAUCUUCUCAUUUCUUGAUAACAAUAUACAAAAUUUAGCAAAACAAGAACACUAAUAACACUAUCAAUCCUCUCAUUUCUUAAUAACAAUAUACAAAAUUCAGCAAAACAAGAACCCUAAUAACACUAUCAAUCUUCUCAUUUCUUGAUAACAAUAUACAAAAUUCAGCAAAACAAGAACACUAAUAACACUAUCAAUCCUCUCAUUUCUUGAUAACAAUAUAAAAAGUUUAGCAAACAAGAACACAAUAACACUAUCAAUCUUCUCAUUUCUUAAUACAAAUAUAGAAAAUUUAGCAAAACAAGAACACUAAUAACACUAAUCAAUCUCUCUCUUUCUUAGAUAACAAUAUACACAAAUUUUAGCAAAACAAGAACACUAAUAACAUUAUCAAUCUUCUCAUUUCUGAUAACAAUUAGACAAAUUUAGCAAAACAAGAACACUAUAUAACACUAUCAAUCUUUCUCAUUUCUUGAUAACAAUAUACAAAAUUAUAAAAACAGAAACACUAAUAACACUAUCAAUCUUCUCAUUUCUUGAUAACAAUAUAACAAAAUUUAGCAAAACAAGAACACUAAUAACACUAUCAAUCUUCUCAUUUCUUGAUAAAAAUAGCAAAAUUAGCAAAACAAGACACUAUAACAACUAUCAAUCUUCUCAUUUCUUAAUAACAAUAUACAAAUUUAGCAAAAAGAACACUAAUAACACUAUCAAUCUUUCCAUUUCUUGAUAACAAUAUACAAAAUUGCAAAACAAGAACACUAAUAACACUCAAUUCUUCUCAUUUCUUGAUAACAAUAUACAAAAUUUAGCAAAACAAGAACACUAUCAAUCUUCUCAUUUCUUGAUAACAAUAUACAAAAUUUAGCAAACAAGAAACACUAAUAACACUAUCAUCUCUCAUUUCUUGAUAACAAUAUACAAAAUUCAGCAAAACAAGAACCUAAUAACAUAUCAAUCUUCUCAUUUCUUGAUAACAAUAUACAAAAUUCAGCAAAACAAGAACAUAAUAACUAUCAAUCCUCUCAUUCUUGACAACAAUAUACAAAAUUAAGGCAAAACAAGAACAUUAAUAACAUUAUCAAUCUUCUCAUUUCUUGAUAACAAUAUACAAAAUUUAGCGAAACAAGAACACUAAUAACACUAUCAAUCUUCUCUUUUUUCUUAAUAACAAUAUACAAAAUUUAGCAAAACAAGAACACUAAUAACACUAUCAAUCUUCUCAUUUCUUGAUAACAAUAUACAAAAUUUAGCAAAAACAAGAACACUAAUAAACACAUCAAUCUUCUCAUUUCUUGAUAACAAUAUACAAAAUUUAGCAAAGCAAAGAACACUAAUAACACUAUCAAUCUUCUCAUUCUUGAAUAACAAAAUAGAAAAUUUAGGCAAAACAAGAACACUAAUAACAUCAAUCCUUCAUUUCUUGAUAACAAUAUACAAAUUUAGCAAAACAAACACUAAUAACAUAUCAACCUCAUUUCUUGAUAACAAUAUACAAAAUUUGCAAAACAAGAACACUAUAUUAACACUAUCAAUUUCUCAUUUCUUAAUAACAAUAUACAAAAUUUAGCAAAAAAAACAAAACAUAAUAACACUAUCAAUCUCUCAUUUCUUGAUAACAUAUACAAAAUUUGGCAAAACAAGAACACUAAUAACACUAUCAAUGCUUCUUCAUUUCUUGAUAACAAAUAUACAAAUUUAAAAACAAGAACACUAUAACAACUAUCAAUCUUCUCAUUUCUUGAUAACAAUAUACAAAAUUUAGCAAAACAAGAAACUAAUAACACUAUCAAUCUUCUCAUUUCUUGAUAACAAUAUCAAAAUUUAGCAAAACAAGAACACUAUAACACUAUCAAUCUUCUCAUUUCUUAAUAACAAUAUACAAAAUUUAGCAAAACAAGAACACUAAUAACACUAUCAAUCUCUCAUUUCUUGAUAACAAUAUACAAAAUUUAGCAAAACAAGAACACUAAUAACACUUCAAUCUUCUCAUUUCUUGAUAACAAUAUACAAAAUUUAGCAAACAAGAACACUAAAACACUAUCAAUCUUCUCAUUUCUUGAUAACAAUAUAAAUUUAGCAAAACAAGAACACUAAUAACAACAUCUCAUCCUCUAUUUCUGAUAACAAUAUACAAAAUUCAGCAAACAAGAACCCUAAUAACACUAUCAAUCUUCUCAUUUCUUGAUAACAAUAUACAAAAUUCAGAAACAAGAACACUAAUAACACUAUCAAUCUUCUCAUUUCUUGAUAACAAUAUAAAAUUUAGCAAAAACAAGAACAUUAAUAACAUUAUCAUCUUCUCAUUUCUUGAUACAAUAUACAAAAUUUAGCAAAAAAGAACACUAAUAACACUAUCAAUCUUCUCAUUUCUUGAUAACAAUAUACAAAAUUUAGCAAACAAGAAACUAAAACACUAAUAAUCUCUCAUUUCUUGAUAACAAUAUACAAAAAUUAUAGAAAACAAGAACACUAUCAAUCUUCCUCAUUUUUUGAUAACAAUAUCAAAAUUUAGCAAAACAGAACACUAAAACACUAUCUCUUCUCAUUUCUUGAUAACAAUAUACAAUUCGCAAAACAAGAACACUAAUAACACUAUCAAUCUUCUCAUUUCUUGAUAACAAUAUACAAAAUUUAGCAAAACAAGAACACUAAUAACACUAUCAAUCCUCUCAUUUCUUGACAACAAUAUACAAAAUUUAGCAAAACAAGAACAUUAAUAAACUAUCAAUCUUCUCAUUCUUAUAACAAUAUACAAAAUUUAAGCGAAACAAGAACACUAAUAACACUAUCAAUCUUCUCAUUUCUAUAAUAACGAAUAUACAAAAUUUAGCAAAAAAGAAAACACUAAUAACACUAUCAAUCUUCUCAUUUCUUGAUAACAAUAUACAAAAUUACAAAACAGAACAACUAAUAACACAUCAAUUUUCUCAUUUCUUGAUAACAUAUACAAAAUUUAGCCAAAAGCAAGAAACACUAAUAAACUAUCAAUCUUCUCAUUUCUUAAUAACAAUAAUAGAAAAUUUAGCAAAACAAGAAACACUAAAACACUAUCAAUCAUCUCAUUUCUUAAUAAACAAUACANNNNNNNNNNNNNNNNNNNNNGGCAAAAAAAGAAGGGAGAGGAGGGAGGAGUAGAGGGAAUAUAUAUCUGCAACAUACAGCCAGGAGAGUAUUAUAUUUAAUUUUAAUAUAGAGAGAAUUCACACACAUUACAGUAAGUAACUCAAUAUAUAUAAAUUAACAACAUCUCUAUAUGUAUUAUAAUAUACACAUAUAAUCUAUAUAUUAUCUCAAUCUAGUAUCACUAAUUAGAUAUCACUUAGAUCACAUACACCUUAUAACUCACAAAAAGAAUAUUUUAUAUAUAUAGCGCGAGAGAUAUAUAUACCACUCACUAGAAAAUACACAAAUCACAAAUUAUGACACCACUAUAUUCUUUCACAAAUGAGUUGACAUUAUAUAUAUAAAUACUAAAUAUUGUGUAGCAACAAUGAUAUAAUACUCACGCUUAUAAAUAACAUCUAUAGUAAGAAAGAAGAAAUAUUUAUGAAUAAACAAUCAUUGCUAUAUAAUAAUGAGAGAGUGCACAACACAUAAUAUAGGAACAUCAAUAUAGUAACAACAUAAUUCGGAUUAUGUCUCUCUCUAUAUGCUCAUAAUUUAUGCGUAUUAGAUAUAAAAAUAAUACAAAUAGCUUCUCACAUGCAAUAAAUGCAGGAUCACAAAUAUAUAUUAACACUAGUAAUCACAAACUUACUUACUCAUUUUUCUUGAAUAACUAAAUAUAUAACUUUUAAAGCACAUAACCACACGUAUAUUCACCUAAUAAACACUAUCAAUCUCUCAUUUCUUGAUAACAAUAUACAAAAUUUAGCAAAAACAAGAAACAACUAUAAUAACAUUAUCAAUUCGCUCUCAUUUCUUGAAAACAAUAUACAUAAUUUAGCAAAACAAGAACAAUAAAACACUCUCAAUCCUCUCAUUUCUUAAUACAAUAUACAAAAUUUAAGAAAAAGAAGAAACACUAAUAACACUAUCAAUCUCUGAUUUCUUGAUAACAAUAACAAAAUUAGCAAAACAAGAACACUAAUAACACUAUCAAUCUUCUCAUUUUCUUAUAACAAUAUACCAAAAUUUAAGCAAAACAAGAAACACUAAUAACACUAUCAAUCUUCUCAUUUCUUGAUAACAAUAUACAAAAUUUAGCAAAACAAGAACACUAAUAAACACUAUCAAUCUUCUCAAUUCUUGAUAACAAUAUACAAAAUUAAAAAAACAAAAGAACACUAAUAACACUAAUCAAUCUUCUCAUUUCUUGAUAACAAAUAUACAAUUUAAAAAACAAGAACACUAAUAACACUAUCAAUCUCUCAUUUCUUGAUAACAAUACUACAAAUUGCAAAACAAGAACACUAAUAACACUCAAUCUUCUCAUUUCUUAUAACAAUAAAAAAUUUAGCAAACAAGAACACUAAUAACACUAUCAAUCUUCUAUUUCUUGAUAAACAAUAUAAAAAAUUUAGCAAAAUAAAAACACUAAUAACACUAUCAAUCUUCUCAUUUCUUGAUAACAAUAUAAAAAAUUUAGCAAAAACAGAGACACUAAUAACACUAUCAAUCUUCUCAUUUCUUGAUAACAAUAUACAAAAUUUAGCAAAACAAAGAACACUAAUAAAACUAUCAAUCUUCUCAUUUCUUGAAUAACAAAUACAGAAUUUUAGCAAAACAAAGAACACUAAUAACACUAUCAAUCCUCUCAUUUCUUGAUACCAAUAUACAAAUUUAGCAAAACAAGAACACUAAUAAACUAUCAAUCUCUCAAUGUUCUUGAUAAUACAAUAUAUAAAUUUAGCACAAACAAGAACACUAAUAAACACUAUCAAUCUCUCAUUUCUUGAUAACAAUUACAAAUUUAGCAAAACAAGAACGUACUAAUAACACUAUCAAUCCUCAUUUCUUGAUAACAAUAUACAAAUUAGGAAACAAGAACACUAAUAACACUAUCAAUCUUAAUUUCUUGAUAACAAUAUACAAAAUUAGCAAAACAAGAACACUAAUAACACUAUCAUCUUCUCAAUUUCUUGAUAACAAAUAAUACAAAAAUUUAGCAAACAAGAACACUAAUAACACUAUCAAUCUUCUAAUUUCUUGAUAACAAUAUACAAAAUUUAGGAAAAAAGACAUGAUAACAUAUCAAUCUUCUCAUUCUUUUGAUAACAAAAUACAAAUUUAAGCAAAGCAAAGAACACUAAUAAAACUUCAAUUUCUCAUUUCUUGAUAACAAAAUAGAAAAAUUUUAGCAAAACAAGAACACAAAUUACUAUCAUCUUCUCAUUUCUUGAUAACAAUAUAUCAAAAUUAGCAAAACAAGAACAGCUAUAACAUUAAUGCAAUCCUCUCAUUUCUUGAUAACAAUAUACAUAAUUAGCAAAAACCAAGAAACACUAAUCAUCUUCUCAUUUCUUGAUAAUAAUAUACCCAAAAUUUAGCAAAACAGAACCAAUAACACUAUCGAUCCUCUCCCUUUCUUGAUAACAAAUAAAGUACGAAAUUCAGCAAAAAAGAACGCUAAUAACUACUAUCAGAUCUUCUCAUUUCUUGAUAACAAUAUACAAAAUUCAGCAAAACAAGAACACUAAUAACAUUAUCAAUCCUCUCAUUCUUGAUCAACAAAUAUAACAAAAUUUAGCAAAACAAGAACAUUAAUAACAUUAUCAAAUCUUUCCAUUUCUUGAUAACAAUAUAGAAAAUUUAGGCGAAACAAGAACACUAUAACACUAUCAAUCAUCCUUUCAUUUCUAAUAAUAAUAUAAAAUUUAGCAAAACAAGAACAACUAAAUAACACGUCAAAUCUUCACAUUUCUUGAUAAACAAUAUACAAAAUUUAGCAAAACAAGAACACUAAUAACACUAAUCGAUCUUCUCAUUUUCUUGAUAACAAUAUACAAAAUUUAAAGCAAAGCAAGACCACUAAUAACACUAUCCAAGCUUCUCAUUUCUUGAUAACAAAAUAGAAAAUUUAGCAAAACAAGAACACCUGAAUACACUAUCAUCCUUCUCAUCUCUUGAUAACAGUAUAUCAAAACUUUAGCAAAACAAGAACACUAAUAACAUUAUCAAUCCUCUCAUUUUCUUGAUAACAAUAUACAUAAUUUAGCAAAACCAAAACAAUAUACAACACUCUCAAUCCUCUCAUUUCUUAAUAACAAUAUACAAA
This 10674-nucleotide long non-coding RNA is filed under the name Lathyrus oleraceus (garden pea). RNAcentral's name for it is "Pisum sativum (pea) long non-coding RNA (PSAT_LNC040040)". Lineage: Eukaryota; Viridiplantae; Streptophyta; Magnoliopsida; Fabales; Fabaceae. The record is from RNAcentral.